Molecule: ribosomal RNA, 238 nt
Filed under: uncultured bacterium
Lineage: Bacteria
Description: partial 16S ribosomal RNA
Rfam family: Bacterial small subunit ribosomal RNA
Source: RNAcentral
GCAAGUCGAGCGGUAGAAUAAUUUAGCUUGCUAAGUUAUUUGAGAGCGGCGAACGGGUGAGUAACACGUUGGUAUCUGCCCCCAAGUCAGGGAUAGCCAUUGGAAACGAUGAUUAAUACCGGAUAGUCUCUUCGGAGUAAAGAUUUAUUGCUUGGGGAGGAACCUGCGUUCUAUCAGCUUGUUGGUGAGGUAAAAGCUCACCAAGGCUAUGACGGAUACCUGGUCUGAGAGGAUGAUC